This 435-nucleotide ribosomal RNA is filed under the name uncultured bacterium. RNAcentral's name for it is "partial 16S ribosomal RNA". It matches the Rfam family "Bacterial small subunit ribosomal RNA", at positions 28 to 507 of the family's 1533-position model. The record is from RNAcentral.
GAUGAACGCUGGCGGUAUGCUUAACACAUGCAAGUCGAACGGACUCUUCGGAGUUAGUGGCGGACGGGUGAGUAACGCGUGAGAAUCUGGCUUUGGGUUCGGGACAACCACUGGAAACGGUGGCUAAUACCGGAUGUGCCGAGAGGUAAAAGAGAAAUUGCCUGAAGAUGAGCUCGCGUCUGAUUAGCUAGUUGGUGAGGUAAAGGCUCACCAAGGCAGCGAUCAGUAGCUGGUCUGAGAGGAUGACCAGCCACACUGGGACUGAGACACGGCCCAGACUCCUACGGGAGGCAGCAGUGGGAAAUUUUCCGAAAGGGGCGAAAGCCUGACGGAGCAAUACCGCGUGAGGGAAGAAGGCUCUUGGGUUGUAAACCUCUUUUCUUAGGGAAGAACAAAAUGACGGUACCUAAGGAAUCAGCAUCGGCUAACUCCGUG